Long non-coding RNA from Talpa occidentalis (Iberian mole), 3317 nucleotides. RefSeq lists it as uncharacterized. The transcript is spliced from 3 exons. The record is from RefSeq and is a predicted model, not a curated record. Lineage: Eukaryota; Metazoa; Chordata; Mammalia; Eulipotyphla; Talpidae.
UAGCUGAGAACUUCUCAUUGGCUCUCUGGGGCCUGGCCAAACUAUCCUGAUUUGCCUGGGGAGUGGAGCUGUCCUUCCCCACAUGAGCCUUGCUUCAUGGGACUCACCACUCCCCUGGCUCCUGUGAGAGCAGCUGCAGGGACAGGUGAUCAGGGUUUGUCUCAUUUAGAAGCUUCGCUAUUUUCUGCUCUGUCUCGUGCUGCAUCGCUGUCAUGAUGAUUCUGUUCCUCGUGUUUGUCCCCGUGCAGGUGAUCGUGACCGUCUGGCCCAAGGCCACAGAGACUGCCUGUGGUUGACUCAGCUCAGCAGUGACCACUGAACCUGCAAGAGGAGAGGAGAAGAGAGGUGUAAUCCCCAGAACAUUCCCACCACCAAGUCACCCAUGACGGUCACCAUCGUCUCCUGUGCUCUUCCCACCCCUGUUUUGAUCCCUCUCCCGCACCCUCCCCAGCUGAGUGUCUGUCAUUUGUAUUUUGCUGCUAGUUUUGUCUUUUUCCCCCCUGAUCCCUGGUUUGGUUUUCCUAUGCCCUCCUGUAAGAGAAACCAUCCGACAUCUUUCUCCUCUUUCUGACUUAUCGCACUGAGCAUGAUCAAAAAGGAAUGACCUCUUAAGGCAACAAUAACUAAGAGGCCCCAGGGAGCUAGUGCUGAGUGACAAUGCCAGUGCCAAGGCUGCACUCAAUAGUCACACGGGCAGUCUGGCUUCCCCAGUUCCAGAAGGAACAGGGAGCUGGUGGUCGCUUUGAACGGACAAAAGGCCGGGGAGUGUGCACAAAGUUCAUUAGGAGCAAAGCAGGACAACUUUGAAGCAGAAGCAGCAAAGCAAAGCUCCUGUUCCUGGGAGGGGACUCGAAUAUGAGUUGUCAUUGGCAGGAUCCCCAAGGCUGCCUUACUGCUGGGAUGGUAGUUGCUGGAUUUGUUCUUCCUUUGAUGGGGCUUUGUUUUGAAUUUUUUGUGUUUCUCAGCUGCUGUUCCCUGGCCUGGAUCUGUCCUGCUCUCUAGAGGUGGGUGCUGCACCCCCUUCCCUGGACUCUGUCUCCCCAUGUCCCUGAGCUGUGUCCUGACCUUCAUUUCCUAACUCAGUGGGACUCUUUUUUCCUAACCUAUCCCCUCUGAAAAGACACUGUGAGAUGAAAGAACCAGUCAGAAAGUAAUGCCUGGGUUAGGACUGGAGGGCGCUGGCGGGAGGGGGAGGCAUAUUCUUAAAGGUCAGCACGUGGGCCCCUUGGGCUAAGGGAACUGUUGGUAUCCAGGCCCUAAGGGUGGAUCUAGGAACCCACUCUUAUUCCCUUCUGGGACCCUGGAGGGUGGGAGGGUGUGGUUGUUGUAGAAAUUUACCCCUCCCCUGGGGCUCCUCACUAAGAUGGGGAACAGCUGUGGGGUAGAUCAGGUGACUGAGGCUCCUGGGUUGAGCAUCAGCAUCUACCACAUGCUGGUCAUGUCAGAAAGGCAGCCUGGCCUCCAAGGUCUGUAACCACAGUCACCUCCUGGGGUGGGACCCCACAUAGCCUUCAGGCCCCACCUGGGGUCUGUCCUGGCUGGCUGAGACUGCAGGGUCUUCCAGGAGACUGGGCUGGGGCCGAGCUGGACCAUGACAGAAAUCAGAAUCCAGCGUUCCUGGGGUUGGGGUCCCCAGCACCCUCAUUCUUUCUCUUCCUGCCAUCCUCCUGUGUACCCCAGGCGCACAUGCUCCCAUCAGGGCCUGUGGUUAAGAAUAUGUGUGUGUGGCUUCUGUCGUUGGCUGUUUGUCCAUUACUGAGUACAUGGAAGUUUCCUUGUUAAACAACCGUCCCCUUUGGAAGAGUGAUCACAGCUUGGUCUCAUUUUCCAAGUGGUGUUGGGUCCUUGUUGUGACAGCCCCGACACCAUUGACCUUGACACUCUAGGAUUUCACUACUCUUUUGUAUAAGAUGUGAGGCUUUAGAAAUCCAGACCUGGCUAAGAAACCCUGUUUUGGCUCCACGUGAUCUGAAGAUUCCCAGGGUCAUGGUCUUUGCACAGAGGGAGAGCUCUGGGAACUGAAUGGACAGGGGUUCUCCAGGGCAUGUGGAUUCUUAAUUCAAUGACCAGGGACAGCCCGUGACCAGACUGUGACCAGAGAAGGGAGAAUUACUUCACGCUGCAGAAGGUCUCUUAUGUGGGCACCGAUCGCCUUCCAGGGCCCUGGGUGUCCCGAGAAGUGUGCCUGCCCCUCCUGAGCAAAGUAGGUGCAGCCUGAGCUCACAGUCAGCCUGGAGGACGGAGAGGCAGGAACAGUGGUGAGGGUGUCCCUGAUGUGCCAGCAGAGAGGGUCAGCUCCCUGGGCACAGGCUCUAUGGCUCAUUUCCCAGGUGAUGCCCCCUGGAUCCUGGUCCCAUCAGUGUCCUGCAGCACACUAUGAUUCUGACCCUCAAAAUAUGGUCACUGCAACCUGGGGGAAGAUCUGGCUGUGCUGAGUUCCUCUGAAGCUGUUCUGUUUCCCAGACCCCAGGGCAGGUUGGUCCCACUGAGGAUCCUGGGCAGCCCAGCUUUGUUCUGGAGCUCCUGCCUGAAGCUCUGCUGCCCCCUGCUGGUGGAGGAGAGCUCAUGCCAGGAAGCUCCUUGCCAGUCACCCCAGAGCCCCUGUCCAAGGAGAGAGUGUUGAACAGAGUCCAGCCCUCCCCUGUGCCAGCUGUGAUCCCCUGGCCUCCGGGCAAGAUAGAAUACGGGGCACAGGGGGGCAGGCCAUGUCAGUUUUUUGAAGCACAUCCCACUUGUCAAGUGCCCUAGCUGGGGUGAUUUGUUCAUUUGCAAAUUUGCUGUCUGGAACCUGAGUGAUGCUGUAGGCACCCCUGCCUUCAUGUCAGCUCAGAUUCAGGAAGAAGCCUCCCCCCUCGGCAUGGAGAGGCUGAUCAUUACCAGGGCCACUGGUGCUUCCUGACCCGAAACUCAGUUGCACUCACCCCUCGUGAUUAUUUACCAGGGUUUUUAUCACCAUAAAUUUCCCAGAGUUCAUGUUGAAGUGUUUCUCCCUCAGCCUCGCCUGAACUGCCGCUUAUUUUUGUCUUUGUAUUUACUGUUGAUAUAUUCUCGCAGCCCAUACUUCGGUAUAGCUUUUCAAUUCAAUUGAUAGCCUCUGCUCUUAAUUGUGAUAUUUGAUUAUUUACAAUGAAAGUCGGUGUUAACAGAUUUUCAAUACACCAUGUUUUUUUUAAACAUGUCAUAUUAUUUCAAAAAUUUUCUCAUCUUUUUUUGCUUUUUCCUUUAUAUGCUUCCAUGUAAUUGAAUUGUAUUAUGAUUCCAAUUUAUCUGUGUCCUGUUUUUGCUUGUUACUGUAAUCAUCUUAUAAUUGUAAUUUA